GUCCCGUUACAGGUCGGAACCCUACUGGUUUCAGGUAGAACGCGGUCUGGUUUCCAAGUCGGACCUAGGCCGACCCUGGCCCCAGUCCAGAAAAAGAAAUGCUGAAGUCUGAAAAUUCCUGACAGAAAGCUGCAGUGUGAGGAUUGGAGAGAGGCUCGGUUACGACCUCUGGAAGCAGCAAGAAAGCGUGAGCUCAGGAGCUCAGCAGGCAUCCAUCCUUUUGUUUUGUCUGAUAUUUUUCAAGGAUCCUUAGGCUCUCAAGAUCUCAAUGAAGUGCCACUUGAUAUAGUCACACAGGCUGUGACUGAAGGGUCCUGGAGGCUGGGGAGUUAAUGGAGCUCAGAAGCCUACUGCACUGCAGUCAAGCACAGUGCCAGACAAUUUCCUUGUGACAAACCUGAGUUAAUUCACUGGAGGAAUGUGGGAAACACGUGGAGGAGAGCAGUCAUUUCAGCCAAGGCCACCUAAUUCAGCAGGUCCGCAGCCGGCCUGUACACUGACUGCAGACACGUGAGUGGGCCAAGACAACAUGAACCAGGCCAAGCCCAGGUCGCCAGAGCUGCCCGAUCCUUCUAGACUUGAGUCUCCUUUGUACUCCCAGUACAUACACUUCUGUAACUUUGCCACACCAUCAUAUGAGACAUACCCAGAUGUGUUCCUGUCCUGGUCCAGGAUGGAGCUGGGAUAUCCCAUUGCAGCUGUUUUGAAAUCUGCCGCCUGUGUCCAGAGAGGAGCAUGGGGAGCCGAGAGUGAGAACAUUUAAGACUUACCUUCCUGGCAACUUUCAGAGUGUGCAUGAAGGUUGCCAGAACCUUAAUUUCAAACUGCAUCAUUUAAUAAGAUACAAUACGGAGAAUUAGGAAGAAAGGCUGCAGGGGAACAUCAUGCUUAUUAUCUUUGUAAUGAGAGGACUAUUUUUUCUUCCAUCAAUUGCCAGUGAUGGUUUUUUUUGUUUCCUUUCGUCCGCGUACAAUUGUGAUGUUCAAUGAGAGGAAUGUGAAGUGCCACUUUAAAGCCAAACAUUCAAUUCCUCCUAAUUCACAAGGGAGAGAAGGAGCAAGUCGUGCAGCUGGGAGGUGAUGUUUCUUCCCAGCAGCUGUCAUUGAAGAGACACGUGCAAGCCAUAGAAGUCAUCUGCCACAAGAACCCAUCCAGAAUUUGCUAUGUGCAUCUCCCUUACUAACGUGACAUGAAAUAGUGAAGCUUUCAAAAUCAAGUACUGAGACUUCGUUCUUUUGACAUGGGUAAAAUGAAAUGGAGAGCUAAGGCAAUUAUGUGGAUAAAUCAGGCCAAAAAUAUCCAACCAUUGAGGGGAAAACUUCUUUCGGCUCGAAUUAUUCAGAGUGACUGUCCAUGUUCAUCAAUCGGUCAGGAUAAUGAGUUUUAUCCUAUACUUUGCUUUGUCACUAUAGAUAUAUCUUUAGUCUAUGCAUUUGAAUGACUUUGUGAUAUUUCAUUUCACUGGAAAUUAUAAUAAUUGAAUUUGCAAGCACUGUGUUAAAAAAUUGCUACUGCAGUCCAAGAGAUAAUAGUCUAAGAGAAUUUAAACUUCAUUAUUCUGUAGCUAGCAGGGUUAUUGGAAUGGAGGUAGAAAGAGAGGUAUGAAAUCUGUUGGAAAUCAAAUGCUUGUAACUAAGCUGUCCCUCCCAUUUAGCAUCCCAUUAUCUUAAAAUAUCUUGGUCUGUAGCUUAAUCUGCUUUUCUGGUCAUUUGACAACUGGUUAAAUGAGCCUGAAAAUUUCAUCAGGUCCCAUACAAAAAUAAUGUAUUUUUAUAUUAUACAUACAAGUGACUCCUUUUGUGUACUGUUAAUAUCCCAUAUUUAUAUACAAAGAGCUAAAUGUUUCAGAUAUGUGAAGGAUAAGCAAGGUCAGUCCUUAUGUCUGCCAGUGCAUUGGCAUGGAGCUUCCUACCUAGAAUCUCAAGUGUGCUUCACCUACAGCUAUCCUUCCUGGGUCUUCAUGCUUUCAGAGCCACCAGAAUCACCUCAGGAAGUCCAGGGUCUCCCAGCAGGCCGAGGGAGAACUUCUGAGCACCUAGUUACUACCUUGGGUGGCCUGGUCCUGCCAGUCUACUGUACGUGAGGGACAACUCAUCACUCAGAAGUUACAAAUCAUGAACGUGUUCACUGAAGCAACACAAUACUAAAUAAGAAACAAGUGCUUCAUAUUGACAGACUUAAAAAAAAAAUCUCUACCAUGAAACUGCACCAUGAGGAGCGACCCAGAAGAAUGACUCUAUUGCUUCCAGUCACAAUAACAAUAUGAAAUUUUGGUUUUCAAAAUGGAAUAAUAUGUGUACUUUCCCAUUGAAAAAAUACUUUGCAUAAAAUUAUCAGGAAAAAAACUAAAGGAGAAAUAAAUAUCACCUAGAAUUAAAUUAAUCAGAGAUAACCACUUGUGGAAGGAAUGUUUGUGACUCCUCCUGUCAAAAUUCAGAGGUUGAAACCCUAAACCCACAGUGAUGGUAUUUGGAGACUGGAUCUUUGGGAGGGAGUAAAGGUAAUAAGCCCUGAUCCAGUAGGGCUGGUUCUCUAAUAAGAGGAAGAGACGCCAGAGCUCUUUCACUGCUGCGUGAGGACGCAGCAGGAAGGAGGCCGUUUGCAAACCAGGAGGAGGGUGCUCACUGGAAACUAUGCUGGCACCUUCAUCUUGGAUUCCUACCUACAGAACUGGGAGGAAACGAAUAUCUGUUGUUUAAGCCAUCUGUUUUAUGGUAUUGUUAUGACAGCCCAGACAAACUGAUAUCGACUAAUAUUUUAUAUGCUUUUAUACUUUAAUAUCCUUCCAGGCUAAAAUAUAUCCACAUAUAUACAUACAUAAAUACAUACAGAUAUGGCACUAUACCCACUGUUUUCUAUCAGCGCUGUCCAAUAGAUAUAUCUGGUGAAUCACACACAUAAUUGAAAAUAUUUUAGUGGCCAUAUUGAAAAAUUUGUCUUUAAAAAGGUGGAAAUUACUUUAAUAUGUUUAAUUUAAUCCAAUAUAUCUAGAAUUUUGUCAUUUUGACAUGUAAUCAAUAUGAAAAUUACUCUUGAGAUAGCUUAUGUUCUUUUUACAUUCUGAGUCCUUGAUAUGUGGAGUAUAUUUUAUACGUAUUGUACAUUUUAGUUUCUGUUGGCCACAUUUCAAGUACUACAGACAGCCACCAUUUGGACAGAGCAGGUUGAGAUCAAGGGCUUUUAGUCCUGGAUUUGAGUUGGGACUCGGUGCUUUAAUUGCCGAUGGCCUUGGGCAAUUUAAUUAACCCUCUAAGCCUUGGAUUCCUUGUGUUUAAAAUGCAAGUAAGCAAAGUAUCUAUAUUAAAGGAUUGUCAUGAUGCUUAAUCGAUAUGGUAAAACAUUUACACUGCAUGGUGGACAGCACUCAAUAAAUUUUGGCAAAAAUUACUUUUGUAGUUCUAGAGUAUGAAUCCUCAUUUUAUAAUAAAUGCUCAU
Long non-coding RNA from Manis javanica (Malayan pangolin), 3435 nucleotides. RefSeq lists it as uncharacterized. NCBI's taxonomy places the organism in Eukaryota, Metazoa, Chordata, Mammalia, Pholidota, Manidae. The record is from RefSeq and is a predicted model, not a curated record.